Molecule: small RNA, 536 nt
Filed under: Arabidopsis thaliana (thale cress)
Lineage: Eukaryota; Viridiplantae; Streptophyta; Magnoliopsida; Brassicales; Brassicaceae
Description: ATSL180460
Source: RNAcentral
AGGUUAUCUAACCGCAUGCAUCCAAAACAAAUCAUGUAUUUAAAAACUUGAUCACAACUUGAGCAAAAUAUAUGGAGAGCAAAGGGCCAUCGCCAAUAGUUCCACUUGUGCUUGUGGUACUCUUCGGAUGGUUCCUAUGCGGCUCGUACCUUGUCUCACUAUUAGAAGAUGUUGUAUUACCAAUCUUACAAACCGGAACGUUCAUUGUAGGAAUCUUUCUCUUGCUUCUCCUUUUGCUUCUCCAUGUCUUAUCUUCUUCUUGGAUCUAUCCAUGGAUCCCUUCUCUUCUUCUUUUACCAUCUCCGGCUUCCACGACUUCUACUGACUCAGACAGCUUUGGUCUUGGAUCGUUUCUUUUGUUCACACUUUUUCUCAUCUCUUUCUGGUUUUUUGGGUCACUCUAAUGUUUAUUCUACUUGUGAAUUGUAUAUUCCUGAUUGAUCAUGCAAAAUAUUGCUAUACACUUUAUACAUGCAAAAUAUUGCUAUACAUGUUGUACAUCAUGCAAGAUUCCAACACAAAAUGUUUAGCAAGAA